RNAcentral lists this ribosomal RNA (117 nucleotides) under uncultured bacterium. Its description in RNAcentral is "partial 16S ribosomal RNA". It matches the Rfam family "Bacterial small subunit ribosomal RNA", at positions 1357 to 1482 of the family's 1533-position model. The record is from RNAcentral.
CUACGGUGAAUACGUUCCCGGACCUUGUACACACCGCCCGUCAAGCCAUGGAAGCUGGGUGUACCUAAAGUCGAUAACCGUAAGGAGUCGCCUAGGGUAAAACUGGUAACUGGGGCU